RNAcentral lists this transfer RNA (69 nucleotides) under Toxorhynchites sp. CL-2019. RNAcentral's name for it is "tRNA-Met". It matches the Rfam family "tRNA". From Rfam's summary of the family: Transfer RNA (tRNA) molecules are approximately 80 nucleotides in length. Their secondary structure includes four short double-helical elements and three loops (D, anti-codon, and T loops). Further hydrogen bonds mediate the characteristic L-shaped molecular structure. tRNAs have two regions of fundamental functional importance: the anti-codon, which is responsible for specific mRNA codon recognition, and the 3' end, to which the tRNAs corresponding amino acid is attached (by aminoacyl-tRNA synthetases). tRNAs cope with the degeneracy of the genetic code in two manners: having more than one tRNA (with a specific anti-codon) for a particular amino acid; and 'wobble' base-pairing, i.e. permitting non-standard base-pairing at the 3rd anti-codon position. Lineage: Eukaryota; Metazoa; Arthropoda; Insecta; Diptera; Culicidae. The record is from RNAcentral.
AAAAAGAUAAGCUAAUUAAGCUACUGGGCUCAUACCCCAUUUAUAAGGGUUAUAACCCCUUUCUUUUUA